UCCUCUCCUGUCCUGUCAACGUCCUUGUCGUCGACUUUUAGAGAAUUCCAAUAUUUUUUUCCCGCCUGAACACGCACUAGUUCAUGCUGAGCUGUGGAGACAAGUGUUACACAGAUGAAUGCAAUGAAUUCAUUCGUGUAUUUUACAUUGGCCGUGGGGCUCAAUUUCAUGGGAACAGCCGACGGUACUUUUUGCAUUGAGGUCGGAGAGGUAUCUGCACUGGACAGUGAGAACUGGAUUCGAGCGAAACGGGACAAUUCUCAACCAGAAGUAAAACCCGGUUUAUACUUGUGUAAACAUAAACAUGGCGCAGGCAAAACGGUACGACUCGAGUGCACAGAGGCCCACUUCUUUGACAAAGUCACAAUCGCUCGCACUUACAACUUCUACAUCGCAAGUAACCCGCGAUUGGCGCAAGGGCACAAGCUGAUACUCGGCGACACGGACGUGGGUGCAGCCCCGGAGACUAUGAUCGUGGGCAUCAACCCGAAGCAAAUCGACGCGCCGAAACUAUUGACAAGCGCGUUUUGUAAGGAGAACAGCAAGGGAGUGAUCGAAUUUUCGUUCAAGGAGAUUCUACCGGCGAAAGACAAAGAGGCCGUCGCCACCAUCGACGCGCUCACUGAGUACUUCUGCUGCAACGAUAUAAACGAAUGCAUCUUGAAGAACGCGAAAGAUACGAUUGGGCGGCUCCUCCCCGCUAUGCGAAGGGUUUUAAGUGGAGUUUUAAGCGGAGACUACCUGAAACCGCAGAAGAAAUCGCAAGUCGGGAGGGAACCGAGCAGACAACCGAGCAGACAACCAAGCAGACAACCGAGCAGACAACCGAGCAGACAACCGAGCAAAUCGAGCUCACGAUCGAGCAAAAAACCGAGCAAACAUGGAAGCAGAAACAAUCAAGUCACACCGGUCGCCUCAACAUAUGCCGGCUCCACAAUCAGCCCACCUUCUUCCCCAAAGAGGACCUCCUCGCAAAAGAGCACUGAGCCGGAAAUCUCCGGAAUGGCGAAGCUUCAGGCUGUAAUGGCGGUCUUGCUCAACAAAAUGAUCGAUCCUUGCAUCCUCAUGAGGGAAACCAAAGACAAAAACAAACUCAGGAAAUCCAAAAUUCUUGUAAAGUGUAUUGUCAGUUCCUGA
This 1137-nucleotide long non-coding RNA is filed under the name Bemisia tabaci. RNAcentral describes it as "lncRNA ENSASIAIIG008543". The record is from RNAcentral. Lineage: Eukaryota; Metazoa; Arthropoda; Insecta; Hemiptera; Aleyrodidae.